Molecule: ribosomal RNA, 253 nt
Filed under: uncultured bacterium
Lineage: Bacteria
Description: partial 16S ribosomal RNA
Rfam family: Bacterial small subunit ribosomal RNA
Source: RNAcentral
UACAGAGGGGGCAAGCGUUGUUCGGAAUUACUGGGCGUAAAGGGCGCGUAGGCGGCCUGCUAAGUCGAACGUGAAAUCCCCGGGCUCAACCCGGGAACUGCGUCCGAUACUGGUUGGCUUGAAUCCGGGAGAGGGAUGCGGAAUUCCAGGUGUAGCGGUGAAAUGCGUAGAUAUCGGGAGGAACAUCAGUGGCGAAGGCGGCUACCUGGCCCAAUACUGACACUCAGGUGCGACAGCGUGGGGAGCAAACAGG